CUUGUAUUUUGAUGUCUAGGUGUCUAACAAGGUCGGGGAAGUUUUCCUUGAUUAUUCCCCAAAAUAUGUUUUCCAAACUUUUAGAUUUCUCUUCUUCCUCAGGAACACUGAUUAUUUUUAGUUUGGUCAUUUAACAUAAUCCCAGACUUCCUGGAGGCUUUGUUCAUAUAUUCUUAUUAUUUUUCUUUGCCUUUGUUGGAUUGGGUUAAUUCAAAGACCUUGUCUUCAAGCUCUGAAUUUCUUUCUUCUGCUUUUUCGAUUCUAUUGCUGAGGCUUUCCAGAGCAUUUUGCAUUUCUAUAAGUGUGUCCAUUGUUUCCUGAAGAUUUGAUUGUUUUUUAUUUAUGCUACCUAUUUCCUUGAAUAUUUCUCCCUUCACUUCUUGUAUCAUUUUUUGGAUUUCCUUACAUUGGGCUUCACCAUUCUCUGGUACCUCCCUGAUUAGCUUAAUAACUAACCUCCUGAAUUCUUUUUAAGGUAAAUCAGGGAUUUCUUCUUGGUUUGGGUCCAUUGCUGUGAGCUAGUGUAAUUUUUGGGGGGUGUUAAAGAAUCUUGUUUUGUCAUAUUACCAGAGUUGGUUUUCUGGUUCCUUCUUACUUGGGUAGGCUCUGUCAGAGGGAAGGUCCAGGGCUGAAGGCUGUUGUUCAGAUUCCUUUGUCCCGUGGGAGUGUUCCCUUGAUGUAGUACUCUCCCCUUUUUCCUAUGGAUGUGCCUUCCUAAGAGCCAAGCUAUAGUGAUUGUUAUCUCUCUUCUGGAUCUAGCCACCCAGCAAGUCUACCCGGCUCCAGGCUGGUACUGAGGGUUAUCUGCACAGAGUCCUAUGAUGUGAACCAUCUGUGGGUCUCUCAGCCAUGGAUACCAGCACCUGUAACGGUGGAGGUGGCAGGGGGGUGAAAUGGACUCUGUGAGGGUUCUUAGCUUUGGUGGUUUAAUGCACUAUUUUUGUGCUGGUUGGCCCUCUGCCAGGAGGUGGCACUUUCCAGAGAGCAUCAGAGGUGGCAAUAUGGGGAGGAACAGGCAGUGGGUGGGGCCCUAGAACUCCCCAGAGUAUAUAUGCCCUUUGUCUUCAGCUACCAGGGUGGGUAGGGAAGGACCACUGGGUGGGGGCAGAACUAGGCAUGUCUGAGCUCACACUCUCCUUGGGCGAGUCUUGCUUUGGCUGCUGUGGGAGAUGGGAUGAGGUUCCCAGGUCAAUGGAGUUAUGUUCCUAGGAUGAUUAUGACUGUCUUUACUGUGUCAGGCAGGCUGUCAUGGAAGUGGGGGAAAGCUGGCAGUCACAGGCCUCACCCAGCUCCCAUGCAACUUGAAGGGCCAGUCUCACUCCCACUGUGCACCUCCUAACAGCACCAAGUCUGUUUCCAGGGAGUGGGCAAGCAGGGCUGAGAACUUGCCCCAGGCUACCGGCCUCCCAGCUGCAAAAGCAAAUAGGCUUUCCUUCUUCCCCUGCCUGUGGAGUCUGCACACCAGAUUCACGCCCUCCCCCCAGGUUCUGGCCAGAAGGCUUCUCCAUCAGUUCAAAUUGUUACAAAGUUCAGCUGGAGAUUUUCUUCUCCCUGUGGCCUUUUCCCAGCACUUCUGGCCACCAUCCCGAAGCACUCCUGUGAGGCCAGGCAAAAACCCUAGGGGACCCAUCAAGCUCCCAGGACUCUUCUCGCUGCUUCCUCUACCCUGUAUUUUGCUCGGCUCUCUAAAUUAACUCAGCUUCAGAAAACUGGAGAACCCCUGCCUUUCCCCUAAGAAAUGCAAAAUAGACUUCAGGCUGGUCCCAGGCUGUUUGCAGAAAACCAGACAUUGGAGGUCUCUUCCAAGAAGUUCAAAAGGGGUUCUG
RNAcentral lists this long non-coding RNA (1826 nucleotides) under Homo sapiens (human). Its description in RNAcentral is "HSALNT0135683". Lineage: Eukaryota; Metazoa; Chordata; Mammalia; Primates; Hominidae. The record is from RNAcentral.